UUGCACAGUGAAUACCCAAGGGUGCUUUGUAGUUUCCUUGGCUUUGACUCUGUGCUAGAGUAAUAUCUGUUCUUUUCCUCUGCAUUCAAAUGGGUAUUUCACCUUUGAAAUGUAUUCAGAAAGUCAGGACAUUU
Molecule: small nucleolar RNA, 134 nt
Organism: Dipodomys ordii (Ord's kangaroo rat)
Lineage: Eukaryota; Metazoa; Chordata; Mammalia; Rodentia; Heteromyidae
Source: Ensembl